UCCUACGGGAGGCAGCAGUGGGGAAUAUUGCACAAUGGGCGCAAGCCUGAUGCAGCCAUGCCGCGUGUAUGAAGAAGGCCUUCGGGUUGUAAAGUACUUUCAGCGGGGAGGAAGGCGAUAAGGUUAAUAACCUUGUCGAUUGACGUUACCCGCAGAAGAAGCACCGGCUAACUCCGUGCCAGCAGCCGCGGUAA
This 194-nucleotide ribosomal RNA is filed under the name uncultured bacterium. RNAcentral's name for it is "partial 16S ribosomal RNA". It matches the Rfam family "Bacterial small subunit ribosomal RNA", at positions 337 to 523 of the family's 1533-position model. The record is from RNAcentral.